Molecule: long non-coding RNA, 1365 nt
Filed under: Malus domestica (apple)
Lineage: Eukaryota; Viridiplantae; Streptophyta; Magnoliopsida; Rosales; Rosaceae
Description: long non-coding RNA (MDOM_LNC008886)
Source: RNAcentral
CUUCACAAGUGACCUCUCUUGUGGUCACUCUCCUAGUGGCAAUAGUCUCUCUCACAUUGCCUUCAGAAACUUCAGCUAACUACCCUUACACCUCUCCACCACCACCGGCCUCUCCUCCCUACCAUUACAAGUCACCACCGCCUCCUUCUCCUUCUCCUCCAGUGCACUACUCACCACCUAAGCAUCCCUACCACCCUAAGUCACCACCACCUCCUGUGUACGCACCACCUAAGCAUCCCUACCACCCUAAGUCACCACCACCUCCUGUGUACCCACCACCUAAGCAUCCCUACCACCCCAAGUCACCACCACCAUCACCAAAGCCUUACCACUACAAAUCCCCACCACCACCUCCUGCUCCAGUGCACUCACCACCCCCACCUAAGGAGCCAUACCACUACAAGUCCCCACCACCACCACCCAAGAAGCCCUACCACUACAAAUCUCCCCCACCACCUCCUCCUCCAGUUCACUCACCACCACCACCCAAGGAGCCUUACCACUACAAAUCUCCACCACCACCACCCAAGAAACCUUACUAUUACAAGUCUCCUCCACCACCACCAAAGAAGCCUUACCACUACAUGUCUCCUCCCCCACCGGUGUACUCACCACCUCCACCAGUGCACUCACACCCACCACCAAAAAAGCCUUACCAUUACAAAUCUCCUCCCCCGCCAGAAUAUUCACCAGCUCCACCAGUGCACUCAACCCCACCACCAAAGAAGCCCUACCAUUACAAAUCCCCACCACCACCACCACCACACAAGAAGCCUUAUUACCCUGUUCACUCACCACCUCCACCUAAGAAGCCUUACCACUACAAAUCCCCACCACCACCUUCUCCUACUCCUCCUAAAUACUCACCACCUAAGCACCCCUACCACUACAAGUCUCCACCACCACCACCAAAGAAGCCUUACCAUUACAAGUCCCCACCACCUCCUUCUCCUACUCCCCCUAAAUACUCACCACCUAAGCACCCCUACCACUACAAGUCACCACCACCACCACCCCAAGAAGCCUUACCACUACAAGUCUCCACCACCACCACCUCCUCCAGUUCCCACACCAUCUCCACCCAAGAAACCUUACCACUACAAGUCUCCCCCACCACCCCCUCCAGUCUACAAGUCUCCUCCACCACCAGUUUACUCACCACCACCACCACCUAAGAAACCUUACAAGCCACCAACUCCUCCAGCAGUUCACCCACCACACGGUUACAUCUAUUCCUCACCCCCACCUCCUCACCACUACUAGAUAUUGAAAGUUUAAUUGCAUCAAGCUGGUAAGCUUCUCCAUUCUAUGCUAUUAUUCAUUAAUUAGUUAGUACUACUGUUGUCAAUUUGGAAAUCACCAUAC